Long non-coding RNA from Cyanistes caeruleus (blue tit), 283 nucleotides. RefSeq lists it as uncharacterized. Lineage: Eukaryota; Metazoa; Chordata; Aves; Passeriformes; Paridae. The record is from RefSeq and is a predicted model, not a curated record.
CUUCUCCACAAAUAGAUUUGAAAUAAGCCAUAUGCCUAUCUGAUAAUGAGUAAAAUUUCACCAUCAUUCUCUCAGUCCUGGUCAAGAAAGACAGUAUAAAUCCAGCUUCAGCAAAAGUACAGAGGUGACAGAGCACUGAACCAGGCUGCCCAGAAAGGCUGUGGAUUCUCCUUCCCUGGAGAUACUGAAAACCCACCUGGAUGCAAUCCUGUGCAACUUGUAGGUCGCAUACUGGGAAUGUCAUGAUGUUCUACUGUCCUGAGUAACAGAAAAAGAAAUUCUG